UGAUGAUGAAGUCAUGAAGAUGCUGAUAGUGAUGAUGAUAAUAAUCUUGUGAACUACUAGGGACAGCAGGUUAAUCACCAUUUGCAAACGCUUUCCAGUAGAGUUCUCCUUAAUAGUCCAGUAGAUCAUUAUCAUCAUCACUCUCAUCAUUACUACUAUUA
RNAcentral lists this microRNA precursor (161 nucleotides) under Paramuricea clavata. The record is from RNAcentral. Lineage: Eukaryota; Metazoa; Cnidaria; Anthozoa; Malacalcyonacea; Plexauridae.